Otolemur garnettii (small-eared galago) is the source of this 1531-nucleotide RNA transcript. It is a transcript of the gene named small nuclear ribonucleoprotein polypeptide A', with no coding region annotated. NCBI's taxonomy places the organism in Eukaryota, Metazoa, Chordata, Mammalia, Primates, Galagidae. The record is from RefSeq and is a predicted model, not a curated record. The transcript is spliced from 7 exons.
AGCCCAGGUUCUCACGUGGUAGCCUUGGGCCAAAUCCCAGGCCCCAGUAGGGACCUGAAGUUUUGCACCCAACACUGAAUCCCACCGGUCCCCGCCCCUCCUGGCUAGAGUGAAGACGUCACAGCUCCCUUUUCCACCUCGAGGCACGCCGAUGUAUGACAAAGUUCCACUCGAGUACUCCCACACGUUGCUUUUGGACACAAACAUCUGAAAUCACGGUCUCUUCCAGACUCCACAUACACCUCAGGAAAAAACCCAGAACCAGAAACAUUGGCGCCAGGACAUUCUUUAGGCUAGAACCACCCCGCGCGCGUGCCUUUUCGAUUGUUUCGGCCUGGCAGUGUAGCUGCGCGCGCGCGCCGACUGCGAUUGGUGCUGCCUGGCGGCGGGGCGCAGGGCACGCUGGGACGUCUCGCUGGCGGGAGGCAGAGGUCUGGCUACGGUGCGGGGGAGCGGGAGGCGGCAGGAUGGUCAAGCUGACGGCGGAGCUGAUCGAGCAGGCGGCACAGUACACCAACGCAGUGCGGGACCGGGAGCUGGACCUCCGGGGGUAUAAAAUUCCUGUCAUUGAAAAUCUAGGUGCUACCUUAGACCAGUUUGAUGCUAUUGAUUUUUCUGACAAUGAGAUCAGGAAACUGGAUGGUUUUCCCUUGUUGAGAAGACUGAAAACAUUAUUAGUGAACAACAACAGAAUAUGCCGUAUAGGUGAGGGACUGGAUCAGGCUCUGCCCUGUCUAACAGAACUCAUUCUCACCAACAAUAGUCUCGUGGAACUGGGCGACCUGGACCCUUUGGCAUCUCUCAAAUCACUGACUUACCUAAGUAUUCUAAGAAAUCCUGUAACAAAUAAGAAGCAUUACAGACUAUAUGUGAUUUAUAAAGUUCCGCAAGUUAGAGUACUGGAUUUCCAGAAAGUGAAACUAAAAGAGCGUCAGGAAGCAGAGAAAAUGUUCAAGGGCAAACGGGGUGCACAGCUUGCAAAGGAUAUUGCCAGGAGAAGCAAAACGUAAGAUACGGAUAUCCAACUUAACUCCACUUCACCUUCAGAAACACUAUCUCUCUGGCAGUUUGCCUCCUACAAAAUUAACAAAACACUGUGACUAAUAAGGUAUUUCAUUUGAGUGCCAGUAGUACAUGACCGUCAGUGGUCCCUGUAUCAGAAGAAAUUUCUGCCAGGCUAGCAGAGCAGCUAUUUCUGUAUUCAGUCUUAAUGUGGUAUUGUAUAUGUCCUGUUUUCUCUAUAGAAAGAUGAACUGGGUAGUGUUUCUGAAGGAAAGAGUUCUUGUAUCAGUUUGUUAACAAAGAUAAGAUACUACACUGGUUGAAUUACUUUCAAAAGCUUUUGAAAGUAAAAGAGAAGCAAUUUCUGUUGAUCUGGGUUUAACAGUUGUGUUCUUCUACCCCUCCCAAGUUUUAAUCCAGGUGCUGGUUUGCCAACUGACAAAAAGAAAGGUGGGCCAUCUCCAGGGGAUGUAGAAGCAAUCAAGAAUGCCAUAGCAAAUGCGUCAACUCUGGCUGAAGUGGAGAGGCU